Molecule: long non-coding RNA, 5510 nt
Filed under: Sus scrofa (pig)
Lineage: Eukaryota; Metazoa; Chordata; Mammalia; Artiodactyla; Suidae
Description: lncRNA (ENSSSCG00055029695.1)
Source: RNAcentral
UCUGGCUUUCUUUUUGCCUCAUACAUCCUCAUCUUAGAGCUGAAGAAGUCUGUGCUUUGGAAAUGCCAAUAGAUGCCGUCAGGAAAGGUAUAAACACAACCCUGCUUUCUCAAGACAAAGGAUCAGGAGAAGGGCAGCCUUGCAAGACAGAAACUUUUAGUUGUGGCAUAUUCAGUUCUCAGGCUAGGAGCUGAAUCAGAGCUGUAGCUGCUGGCCCACACCACAGCCACAGCAAAGCCAGAUCCGAGCUGCAUCUGCGACCUACACCACAGCUCAUAGCAAUGCCGGAUCCUUAACCCAUUGAGCAAGGCCAACAAUAGAACCUGCGUCCUCAUGAGUGCUAGUCAGAUUCGUUUCCACUUGGCCAUGAUGGGAACUCCCCAGUAACUUCUUUUCUUUUUUUUUCUUUUGCUUUUGGCCACACCUGAAGCAUGUGGAAGUUCCUGGACCAGGGACUGAACCCGUGCUGGAAUUGCCAGGUGAAGCAACGUGGGAUCCUUAACCCGCUGUGCCACAAGGAAACUUCCAGGCACUAACUUUUAUAUUUUAGCCAGACACUACAGAAAACACUGUGGCCUCCACCCCAACCCCACCGGCAAAAACCGAGGGGGGAGCCUAGAUCCCCAUCCUUGUCAGGCUGCACUGGGGACGCCCACCUCCCUGGCAGAGGUGGUGUUAGAGAAGCCCAAAGAGGGAGUUGGGACUUUGAGCCCCGAAGGGCAGUAAGGAGACUCCCCCCACUGCCGUCAGCGGGGAUUAUGUGAGGAGCCCAUGCACGCACCAAGCAAUCACCAGGCCCCCUCCCCUCCCACUGGGAUGCUGUCAGAGGAUGCCUCUUGCAGAGGCGGGACUCAUACCACCCCACGACACCUGAGGCGGCUAGUGGAACUCGGGACCCUGUUCCCCGUUAAUAAGGCAGCUCCCAUCCCCCUUCCCUUGCCGGAAUAGUGUCAGAGGAAGCCAGCUCAAUCAGAAGGUUAAAAUGAGAUUCAGAGUCUCAGAACUAAUAAUACCUAAAAUGCCUCCAUUUACUUUUUAAAAAUGAUUUUUAUUUUUUCCAUUAUAACUGGUUUACAGUGUUCUGUCAAUUUUCUACAGUACAGCAAAGAGACCCACUCACACAUACACAUAUACAUUCUUUUUCUCACAUCAUCCUCCAUCAUAAGUGACUAGAUAAUCGUUCCCAGUGCUACUCAGCAGGAUCUCAUAGUCUGCAUUAAGUGAAGGUCACUUAUAAUACUAUCAGGAGCAUCCCAACUUUCCUGAAAAAAGAUAAGCCACGGACACCAAUCAUCAGAGGCCAGGGAUGCUAGAAUCACCUGCUUCAAAAAAGUUUUGAAGCAUCCACGACAAAUAUCCUUUGAGGAACAAUUAUGAACAUGCUUGGAAUCAAUGAAGAGAUCAAAAGUCUGAGUGAAGAAUUAGAAGAUAUAAGGAAAAACCAAAUGAAAUUUUCGAACACAGAAAUACAACAACUAAAAUAAAUUCAGCGUAUGGGUUCAAGAGCAGUGGAGUGGAGAGACUCAGUGUACUUGCUGAUAGGAAAAUAGAAAUUACCCAAUGUGAGCAAUAAAGAGAAAAUAGCUUUGGUGUGGGAGAGAGAACACUGCCUCAAAGACCCGUGGGACCAAAACAAAAAUGUCUAAAUUCUCACAUCACUGAAGUCGUUGAAGGAGAGAAGAAAAGUACUAAAGAACUUAAAUAAAGUACUUAAAGAAAUGACUGGAAAUUUGGCAAAAGAUAUAAACCUAUAGAUUCAAGAAUCUGAGUGCAACUCAGAAUAAACACAAAUAAAUCCACACUAAUGGAGUUCCUGUUGUGGCUCAGCAGUAACGAACCCGACUAGUAUCCGUGAGGAUGUGGAUUCGAUCCUUGGCCUCGCUCAAUGGGUUAAGGAUCUGGUGUUGCCAUGAGCUGUGGUGUAGGUUGCAGACGCAGCUCAGAUCUGGCAUUGCUGUGGCUGUGGUGUAGGCCGGCAGCUACAGCUCCUACUUGACCCCUAGCCUGGGGAACCUCCAUAUGCUGUGGGUAUGGCCCCCCAAAAAAGCAAAAAAAAAAUUCAAACUAAGACAGAUCAUGCUCAAAUUUCUGAAAACUAGAAAAAAAAAAAGAGAAAAAAAAUCUUGAAAGUGAGAGAAGAACAUCUUACUUAUAAGAGAAAAAAGUUGGAUGACAGUGGAUUUCUCAUCAGCAACCGUGAAGGCGCAAAGGAAGUGGCACAACAUUUUUUAAGUGCUGAAAAAAACCACAAAACUUUCAGUCCAGAAUUGUGUAUUCCAGGAAACUAUCAGGGAUGAAAAUGUAAAUCCAGGCAUUAUCAGAUGAAGGAAAACCAAGAGAAUGUGUUGCCAGCAGAACUAUCCUAAAAGAAUGGCUCAGGUUAGUUCUUGAACUGGACAGGAAAGGGUAAAGAAAGGAACCCUGGAAUAUCAGGAAGGAAGAAAGAACAGUGGAAAGAGUAAAAAUACAUGUAAAUAGAAUAUGUUUUAAUCUUUCUAACUAUGUUUGAGGGUGGAAGCAAAGUUAUAAUAUUGUGCGAUGUGGUUCUAAGUGUCUAGAAGAAAUAUUUUCAACAGUUAUAAACUGGAGAGGGUAAAGAGACAUAAAGAGAGCUAGCACAAAAACCAAUAAAAUGAUGACAACAGUAGACUGUGGCAAGUUAUGUAUAGAUAAUGUAAUACCUAGAGAAACCACUAAAGCAGCAUAGACCAAUGAAAAUGGAAUUCUGAAAGUGCUCCAGCAACACACAGGAAGGCAGGCGAAAUCCAGAGAGAAGAACAAUAAANAAAAAAAAAAAAAAAAAAAAAAAAAAGGGGGGGGGGGAGAUUUAAGCCUUACCUUUAUCAAUAGUUCUGUUAAAUGUAAUAAUCUAAGUACUCCACUUAAAAAACAGAGAUGCGCCCAAGGGAUUAAAAAGCAUGAUCCAAUUAUAUACUGUCUACAAAAAAACUACUCAUAUUCAAUGAUACUGGUAUGUUAACAGUUAAAAGCUGGAAAAAGAUAUACCAUGCAAACAUUAAUUUUAAAAAGUAGGAGUGAUUACAUUAAUAUCAGAUGAUGUAGACAUCAAAGCAAAGAAAAUUACUAGAGAGAAAAAUGGGAUAAAUUACAUAAUUAUACAAGGGUUAACUCACCAAGUAGGCAUAGUUAUUUCAUGUGUGUGUGUGUGUGUGUGUGAACAGAGAUGCAAAAUAUGUCAGGCAAAAACUUAUACAAGUGAAAGAAGAAGCAGAAAACCCAUAAUAUAGUUGGAGACUCCAACAUUCUUCUAUUAAUAACUGAGUAAGCAGAUACGACAUAGAUCAAUUUGAAAAGCACAAACUAUCACAAUUCACUCAAUAUUAACAAGAUCAUUUGAAUAACUGUAACAAUUAAGGAAAGUGAAUUCAUAAAGCAAAAAUUUCACAUGAAGAAAACUUCAGUGCACGUGGUUCCACUAGAGAAGUCUCCCAAAUAUUUAAAGUAGAAUUAACAUAAUUUUUACACAAUCUCUUCCAGAAAAAAGAGGAGAUAACACUCCCCAAUUCACUUUAUGAAGCUAGUUGUACCUGAUACCAAAACCAGACAAGGAAAGCACAAAUAAAGAAAACUACAGACUACUGUUCCUUACGAAUAUAGGUAUGAAAAUCCUGAACAGAAUAUUAACAAAUACAAUUCAGAAACCUAGAAAGAAUUAUACACCAUGACGUAGUUGGGCUUAUUCCAAGCAUGUGAGUUUGGAUCAAUAUUCCAAAAUCGAUCAGUAUAAUGCACCGUAUUAACGAGUUAAAGAAGACAAAUUACAAGACCAUGUCUAUUGAUACAGAAAAACACCUGGCAACAUUUGACAGCCCUUCAUGAUAAAAUCUCUAAGAAAAAUGUGAACAGACAACAUCCUCAACUUGGUAAAGAGGAUGUGUAAAAAUCUACAGCUUACACUGUAUUUAAUGGGGAAGGACUGGAUGCUUUCCCACUUAGAUCAGCAACAAAACAAGGAGGUCUGCUCUCACCACUUGUAUUCAACAUAAUACUACAAGUUGUAGCCAGUGAAAUAAGAAAAAAAAAAGGCAUACCAAUUGGAGCAGAAGAAAUAACUGUUCUCUAUUUGAUUUGCAGAUGACAUAAUUAUGUAGAAAAUCCCAAGGAAUCUACAAAAACACCCAGAACUAGUGAGUUUAACAAAUAUGCAGAAUUAAAGGAAAAACAUCAAAAAAUCUUAAAUACUGUACACUAGCAAUGAAUUAAUAGACAUCAAAAUAAAAGCUAUGUUAGUUACAAUUGCUUAAGAAAAGAGAAAUAUUUAGGUAUCAUUUUAGGGAAAUAUAAACAAGAACUUUUAAAACUACAAAAUGCUGAUGAAAGAAAUCAAAGGAAAUGUAAGUAAAUGGAGAGCCACAUUGUAUUCAUGGAUUGGAAGACUCAAUAUAGUAAAGACAUCAGUUCUUCCCAAAUUGACAUACAGAUUUAAUGCAAUUUUUAUGAAACUUCCAGUAAGAUAUUUUAUAAAUACAGACAAUUCUAAAAUUUACACGUAGGAGUUCCUGCUGUGGCUCACUGGAAACGAGCCAGACUCAUAUCCGUGAGAAUGCAGGUUGGAUCCCUAGCCUCACUCAGUGGGUUAAGGAUCUGACGUUGCCUGAGCUGUGGUGCAGGCUGCAGAUGUGGCUGAGAUCCCAUAUUGCUGUAGCUGUGGCUGUGGCCAGCAGCUGCAGCUCCGAUUUGACCCCUAGCCUGGGAACUUCCAUAUGCCACAGGUGUGGCCCUAAAAAGCAAUAAAAAAAAUUAAAAAGAUUUAUAUGGUAGAGAGAAAAGGAACUAGAAUAGCUAAAACAAUUUUGAAAAAAAUAAAGUGAGGGGAGGAGCAGUAAGGUCCAUCUGAUUGUAAGACUUAUUGUACAGUGACAGUGAUCAAAAGUUGUGUGGUAUCAGUGAAAGGACAGAUAAUUACAUCAAUGGAAUAGAAUACAGGACCCAGAAAUAGCCCACAUAAAUAGGCCCAAAUGAUUUUUAACAAAAUCAAAAAAGGGAGCCUUUCAAUGGAAUACUACUCAACUAUAAAAGAGAACAACAUAAUGCCAUUUGCAGCAACAUGGAUGGAACUAGAGACUCUCAUAUUAAGUGAAGUCAGAAAUAGAAAGACAAAUACCAUAUAAAAUGACUUGUAUUUGGAAUCUAAUAUACAGCACAAAUGAAUUUUCCACAGAAAAGAAACUCAUGGACUUGGAGAACAGACUUGUGGGUGCCAAGAGGGAGGGGGAUGGACUGGGAGGGACUGGGAGUUGGGGGUUAAUAGAUGCAAACUAUUGCACUUGGAAUGGAUAGGCAAUGAGAUCCUGCUGAAUAGAACAGGGAACUCUAUCUAAUCACUCGUGAUGGAACAUGAGGAGGAUAAUGUGAAAAAAAGAAUGUGUAUAAAUGUAUAACUGGGUCACUUUGCUCUACAGCAGAAAUUGACAAAACAUUGUUAAGUCAACUAUGAUAAAAAUUAAAAAAAAUACAUUCAAAAGGGAGCCUUUUGUAACAAAUACUGC